This 141-nucleotide ribosomal RNA is filed under the name Podospora anserina S mat+. Lineage: Eukaryota; Fungi; Ascomycota; Sordariomycetes; Sordariales; Podosporaceae. The record is from RNAcentral.
ACAUACGACCAUAACCAGUUGAAAACUCGGGAUCCCGUCCGCUUUCCCCUAGAUAAGCAGUUGAGUGCCACUAGUACUCAGGUGAGUGCUAGACCAGUACUCAGGUAGGUAACCACCAGGGAAUCCCUGGUGGUAUAUAUU